This is a non-coding RNA of Candidatus Harrisonbacteria bacterium, 84 nucleotides long. Lineage: Bacteria; Candidatus Harrisoniibacteriota. The record is from Rfam.
GCCGAGGUGGCGGAACUGGCAGACGCACUGGCUUCAGGAGUCAGCGGUCGCAAGACCAUGUGGGUUCGAAUCCCACCCCCGGCA